Molecule: ribosomal RNA, 284 nt
Filed under: uncultured bacterium
Lineage: Bacteria
Description: partial 16S ribosomal RNA
Rfam family: Bacterial small subunit ribosomal RNA
Source: RNAcentral
UAAUACGGGGGGAGCAAGCGUUGUUCGGAUUUACUGGGCGUAAAGGGCGCGUAGGCGGCCAGCACAAGUCAGUUGUGAAAUCUCCGAGCUUAACUCGGAAAGGUCAACUGAUACUGUGCGGCUAGAGUGCGGAAGGGGCAACUGGAAUUCUUGGUGUAGCGGUGAAAUGCGUAGAUAUCAAGAGGAACACCUGCGGCGAAGGCGGGUUGCUGGGCCGACACUGACGCUGAGGCGCGAAAGCUAGGGGAGCGAACGGGAUUAGAUACCCCGGUAGUCCUAGCCUU